AGCUCCAAUAGCGUAUAUUUAAGUUGUUGCAGUUAAAAAGCUCGUAGUUGGAUUUCGGGUGAGGAUGACCGGUCUGCCGUUGCGGUACGCACUGGACGUUUUCAUCUUGUUGUCGGGGACGCGCUUCUGGGCUUCAUUGUUCGGGACGCGGAGUCGGCGCUGUUACUUUGAAAAAAUUAGAGUGUUCAAAGCAGGCAAUCGCUCUGAAUACAUUAGCAUGGAAUAACGCUAUAGGACUCUGGUCCUAUUGUGUUGGUCUUCGGGACCGGAGUAAUGAUUAAGAGGGACAGUUGGGGGCAUUCGUAUUUCAUUGUCAGAGGUGAAAUUCUUGGAUUUAUGAAAGACGAACUUCUGCGAAAGCAUUUGCCAAGGAUGUUUUCAUUAAUCAAGAACGAAAGUA
This 400-nucleotide ribosomal RNA is filed under the name phytoplankton environmental sample. RNAcentral describes it as "partial small subunit ribosomal RNA". It matches the Rfam family "Eukaryotic small subunit ribosomal RNA", at positions 587 to 991 of the family's 1831-position model. The record is from RNAcentral.